CGGCGUGCCUAAUACAUGCAAGUCGAGCGAAUGGAUUGAGAGCUUGCUCUCAAGAAGUUAGCGGCGGACGGGUGAGUAACACGUGGGUAACCUGCCCAUAAGACUGGGAUAACUCCGGGAAACCGGGGCUAAUACCGGAUAACAUUUUGAACYGCAUGGUUCGAAAUUGAAAGGCGGCUUCGGCUGUCACUUAUGGAUGGACCCGCGUCGCAUUAGCUAGUUGGUGAGGUAACGGCUCACCAAGGCAACGAUGCGUAGCCGACCUGAGAGGGUGAUCGGCCACACUGGGACUGAGACACGGCCCAGACUCCUACGGGAGGCAGCAGUAGGGAAUCUUCCGCAAUGGACGAAAGUCUGACGGAGCAACGCCGCGUGAGUGAUGAAGGCUUUCGGGUCGUAAAACUCUGUUGUUAGGGAAGAACAAGUGCUAGUUGAAUAAGCUGGCACCUUGACGGUACCUAACCAGAAAGCCACGGCUAACUACGUGC
This 488-nucleotide ribosomal RNA is filed under the name Bacillus sp. SC15. RNAcentral describes it as "bacterial SSU rRNA". It matches the Rfam family "Bacterial small subunit ribosomal RNA", at positions 40 to 508 of the family's 1533-position model. The record is from RNAcentral. Lineage: Bacteria; Bacillati; Bacillota; Bacilli; Caryophanales; Bacillaceae.